This is an RNA transcript of Prionailurus viverrinus (fishing cat), 6463 nucleotides long. It is a transcript of the gene named translation initiation factor IF-2-like, with no coding region annotated. NCBI's taxonomy places the organism in Eukaryota, Metazoa, Chordata, Mammalia, Carnivora, Felidae. The record is from RefSeq and is a predicted model, not a curated record. The transcript is spliced from 4 exons.
GACGGGGGCGGGAAGGGGGGAACAAAAAUCCCCCUUAGACCUUCGGAAACCGCAGGGGCGGGGCAGGGGCGGCCACUCGCGGGCCCCGACCGUGGGCAGGGACGGGACGUCUCAUCUGGGAGAAACCCUCCGAGCGGGGCGUCCCCAGGCAGCCACUGCACAAGGGGAGACAGACCAGGGGAAAGGAAGGUGGCUUCCCGAGCAUGCAAUCUCCAGGUCUCUCCCCAGCGCACCGGGAGUCUCUGCGUCCUGGAUCUGGCGUCUAACUCCCCCCCCCCCCCGCUUCUCCCCACGCGCCGAAUCGCGCAAGCAGUUUUCUGUGUGCUGGGAGCUGGAAUACGUCGUUUCCCCGGUUCUUUCCGUGCCCCAGCCUUGCCCCUCCCCGCCUGGGUGGGCACUGGGAGGGAACUUCCUUAGCACUUUCAGAGGUGGGGUUAACGCGACGCAGCGGCCGUGAUGGUAAAAGCACCCAGCCUGGCGAGGGAAUCUGGGUUUAGGACCAGCCCUGCUCAUGACCCAAGGGGUGAUGGAGCCUCCCAGCUCCUGAAAGCCUUGGCUCUUGUAGCUGUAAAAAUCGUUUUCUUAGUAUCGUCUACUUUUCCGUGGUCCUUUGCGUUACCAAAAAUAUGUCUUAGGGGUCUGUUCUCUUACCAGGACUCAAAACCCAAUCCUUUAGCCCUUUCUUAGGUUGAAAAGGGUCCUUGGAGUCGUUGUCACAGAAGAUGUCCCAGAUUGCUUCAGUGUCCCACAUCUCAUACAAAAAUCCGGAGCUCUCAGGGAAGAGAACUGGGAACUAAAAAGCAAAACCUACUGUGCUCAUCAUGUACAAAUUUGUGGUGACUUGACUUCUCUGAGUAUUUGCCAACCGCCGGAACAGUGAAGUCAAGAAGCCUCCACACAGGGGCGGAAGGAAAAGGCUGAAGAAAAUUGAAGUCAGUUUCUCAAACUUUCAAGGAGAUAGCUGGAUGGCUUCAGUAUGGACUUGCUAGAUUUCCAAAGAAAAUUUCCGAACGCUUUGCUGUGCUCCAGGAAGUAUGAAAAGUACUGUAUGUGCCCCCCCCCCGUGUGAUUACCCCAUUUCCUAGACGAGAAAAGCGAGGAGUGAAGAAAUCACCUGUCUCACCAAGGUUCACAACAGCGAGUGAACUAGGAUAAUGGACCCUUGUCUGGCCCCAAAAUUGCAAGCUCUUACACUCUUCAAAAUUUCACCAACAUAGGAUUCACAUUAAAAAUAAGUAAAUCCCUGCAGGCUCUCAAAGUGAUACAGAGGAGAGGCCUCUUGGGGUCUUGGAGGAAAAGAAAUGGCACUUGUGCAUUGCCCCUCUGUGAUACCAAACUCUGAGGACAGAAUGCCGAGACAGCGGUGGUAUGGAGGCACAAAGGUUGCAUGUAGACAUACGAUUCUGGUUCUGCCUCUGACCAGCCAGGUGACCCUGAACAAGCCACUUCACCCCGAGGCCUAAGUUUAUUUUUUAAGUGGAGUGUGACAUGGAGGUCAGAGUUUGGUUGAAUUACUUCAUCUCUGAGGUCUUUCCCGGUUCUGACCUUGAAUGAAUGUAUGGUCCUCCAGGCAGACCGCAUGCCUAUGGAGGAAGCUAAGUGAUAAAGCCAGAAGGUCUCAGGGAGAGAACUGUUUUCACACUGCCUUCGGAAUCAGAAUGAAUGUGGGGGGUGUUGCGGGGUGUUCACAGGCAAAAUACACACAUACACACACACACACACACAACCCACACACUAAGAUUUAGCACUAAGCCUGCAGACUCCAUUUAAAUAAUUUUACUUCUAAAAAUUAAAAAAAUAUAUUAUUAAUUUAGAAACCCAUGAAGUACAUCCGACCAGCCAUAUUUCUGUCUUUAGAAUAGAUCACAGAAAAGCAAUACACAAGUAAGAAUAUUUUUUUCAUGUUUAUUUUUGAGAGAGAGAGAGAGCGUGAGUGGGGAAGGGGCAGAGAGAGGGAGACAGGAUCUGAGCUUUCAGCACAGAGCCCUCCACGGGGCUCAAACUCAUGAACUGUGAGAUCAUAACCUGAGCUGAAACCAGACGCUCAACCCACUGAGCCACCCAGGCACCCCAGAAUAUUUUUUAAAUAGUCCAAUGUGAAGUGAAAAAAAGCCUUUCAUUCUUUGAAUAACUAUAGAAAAGCUAGUCAGUCACAAGCUACUUUUAAAAAAGAAAAAAAAAAAAACACUUCCUAAAUCUGCAUCACACUCAAAUCUCCUUAAUAUGCAUCAGAAUGAACAGGAUAGUUGAUAGCACAGGUCCCAAAUACAUCGUGACAGGUUUACUUGAAAACUUUGCAGUUUUAGGAACUUGUCAAUAUUAAAUAUCCCCCCAAAUAUUUCAACUUGUUGUAAACCUGAUUCAGACUCUAAAUACAGGCAGAAUCUCAUGGGCCCUCAUGAUUCUUCCUAUCUCCAAUUUUUCCUCCCAUUAAUUUAUUAAUUGUACACCUUCAGAAACAUUGAAAUCACUCAAAGCAAAACAAAACAAGUUCCUCAAUCAAAGAGGACAGGAAAGUAAGCAAACUAUUGCGGGAAAAUGCUUAUGAUCUCCAGCGUUCUUCCACAAAUGUUAAAGUCCUAUAUAUUAUUCAUGUAUUUGUUUUUAUCCUAAAAGAAUAUUUGGAAGCUGAUAGUAAUGGUGGGAAAUAACAAUGGGGAGCUUUUUAAAAAUACAUAAUGCUGGUCUGUAUCCCCUGCUCCCCAUAUUUCAUUCAUCUUAGUCCCUGAGUUCAGGGUGGAAGCUUGGGUCGGUGUAUGUGUGUAACUCAUAUUUUUAGACAGUAUUUUAUUGAGAACAUUUUCACAUUCAAUAAAAAGCACGACCUUCAUUGUAUGUACAGUUUGACGAUUUUUUUUAUAUGGAUGCAUCCAUGGGACCACCGUCCAGACCCAAGAUACAGAAAAUGUCCAUCACCACAAAAAUUUCCCUUGUGUGACCUCUCAGUCUGUAUCACCUCUCCAGGCUAACUUCUGUCACUAUAGAGUAGUUUUGCUAGUUCUCAAACUUCAUGACUGGAAUUACACUGUGUGUGUGUGUAUAUGUGUGUGUACAUAUCACUUUGCUUAUCCAUUCUCCUGUUGAUGUUUUUGAAAACAUUUCCGAAGUAAUUCCGUUAUACCAGCCCCCUUUAAUUCAGAACCACUGACUUAACAGCACAAAUAUAACAAAAUAAGUCUAGAUUAUUAACACAAAAACAUGUUAAGCAUGAGAAGGGAAGAAAGAGAACACUUUGGAAGGAUGAAAUUUAAGAGUGCUUUAAUCGUUGUGUGCAUUCAGAGCUCCUUAUUAAUGAAAACAAAUUAGCGAAUUGACUACAAUAUGAACUUCUUGUUAUCUGGUGAUUUUUUUUUAAAGCUACAUGAUUCUGCAGAGUUGUUGUGUACAGCCACGAGUAUAGUACCCAAUGCCACUCCAUGAGCUAAAAUAGUCUGGAGUGUGAAUGGCAUUCUCUGGAGUUGUGCAAUGUGGUGACCAGGGCACUGCGCAUUCUCCCUUUAGAGAUAGUUUCGUGGUACCUGCUUUGGAAGAAUCAUUUCUGACGCAGAAGACUGAGCCCUUCUUCCCUCCUGGUUGCAUCUUUGAGGCUUUUCGUUUGAGUAAGAGAAGGGCCCCCACCCCAGCCUUUCCCAAGGUUGACUAAGCCAGGAAGUCACAUUCUUCUCAAAUGUUGGGAAAAUGAUGAGAGACUUAUGGAGGCACAGAUUAGAUGAAAGAGUACACUGUUUAUUUGGGUUUGCUCUGUAGUCUGGAGGUUUGGCAUUACCUGCAUCCUUUCAUGUCACACAGUGUCUCCAUUUCGUCAUGUGUCCUAAUGUUUCAACUCUCCCGCUCCUGACGCAUCCUCCUCUCUGGCCAUUUCCUCUCCAUUUCAUUUCUCUUUCCUUUGCCCAUUCUUCAGCAGAAGGCGCUCUGCCUCCCACAGGGACUGACUACUCCCUGACCUGAGCCAAAGGAGAAAGAGCCUCCAUUUCCAUGCCAGUCAACCUAAGCCACAAGUGAAUUAUUUCCUUGUUACUUCCUUCUGGAAAGAAUGUCAAACACAAACAUUUUGAGGUUGUACUUUUUUCAGGCUGGGAGGAGAAAGGCGAAUCAGUGUCCUGAGACGCUUUGCCAGCUCUUCUGGCGGCUACAGUUGACCACUGGGCAAUGAUGUCAGCUAGCUAUCUGGACAUCAGGCAGACUCGCUCUAGGCACAUCACUAGUUUUUCCAACGAAAAUGUACAUGAUUCAGCCAGUUGGUUACUCUUUAAAAAGUCAAUGCACUAGCAGUAUGUAUUAAUCAAGAACACUCUAGAAAGAGUAAUGCACCUGCAUAAUUGGUACUUUCAGCAAGAUUUAAAGGAAAUAAAACCUAGGCAGUAUUAAGUAUCUCACCAAUUUCAAUGUAUUCAUUAUCCUUCUGUACUAAUUUCGCCUUGGGUUGCAAACACCCUUUGAAUCAUACCUUAAAGGCACAAGCUCUCCGAUCGUAUUCACCUGGCUCACCUUUCCUCACCUCCCUCAGCCCCAACAUUGCCUUCCAGCUUUUCCAGGCUUGAUAGAAAACACACAACUUCUCUCCCAACACACUGGCAUAUGCACACACACAUCAAAUCACCACGUCCUCUGUAGGGCACACUGCUAGUGAUGAGCUUACCCCAUCGUUACUGCUUAAAAUCAUGUGUUUUCCGGAAAAGGAGGCUUUUACUGCUCCCGUAAUCUCUUCUAGGAGACCUUCUUCAUUGUGAUUUAACCAAUUUUAAACUUUGUAAUGGAAUUGAAUCAUUAACAAACCGUUUUCCAUAGUCACUUAUCUAUGGUUGUUAAUCUCAAAAACAUCCUCUAAUGUUGAGUGCAACAGAUCUAAUAGGCCAGGGCCACCGUCUUAACACAAGUUCCCUUGGUUUAAGAACAAAACCCCACUUCAGACUGUUAAAGCAAAAAAGGAAUUCAUUGGCAAGAUACCGAAACAUGUCAUGGAAUCCGUGAGAAAGAAGGGCAAGACCAAAGAACCGCGAGGAUACUCUGCUUUUCUGUCUGGAGGCUGGUUUCUGUCCUUCAGCAGGGACUGAAUCUCAUAUCCAGAUUCUCAGGAGAAAGAACGUGGCUUGAGAUGUCAAACCAGGGCGUUGGAGAAGGAACAGGCUGCUGUGACUGGACCCAGCCCUUCGUUUGGAAAGGACAGUUCCCAGAAUGGAGACAGUAGCUGGGAAAAGGAGGCCUACAACUGGAAACCACACCAAUGAGGGAAGGGAGAAAUUUUUUACCAAACUCAAGUCUUGGGAAUCCCUCUGUUCACUCUGUAACUAUCUAUUCCAUCUAUGCAAAGGGCCAAAUCCAGCUUCUCAUGUGUAGAGAAGAAAGCGACCCACUAGGGAGCUCUCAGAACCUGCCCUCUGAGCCCAUCCUUGCCCCUUCCGGACAUCGAGCUGCCUUGAUUAGGAAAAUGCACCCGUGGAGAGGGGCAGACAUCUAGCAAGACUGUGCUUCUCCAGGUAUUUUCCACUAAAUGGAAUCUGGCUCCUUAGAGAAAUGGUGGACUCCAGGUCUGAGGAAAGAAAUAUACAAGAAAGCAAUCAAAAGAACACUAGAGUCAUCAUCAAAGGAUUCAGGAACCACCUUGAAGAGACUCUCAGUGGCUAAAGAUGGGUCCAUUUUAGCGUCUAGAAGGAUGAUAAUGGCAAUUAGUUGUAACAUUUCAACUGUUUGUCAAAUGAUAUGAGAAAAAUAAUUAGUCACCACUAAAACCAACUCAUUAUUUUGAAAAAUGAUAAACAGAGGGACGGAAAGAAACCAUCUUGUUUUCGCUAAGAAAUUAUACCACGGAAAAUCAAGUAGCAGAUGAGGAGGUUUUUUUCAUUAUAGAAAUAUCCUAGAUAACAAAUAGAAGGGAUGAUAAAAUCAUCAUUAGAUGAUAUUAGAAUACCAUCAUUUUUCCACCUUGGAUAAAGUAGGAUCAAGGCAUGAGCUUCAGUGGUUGCUAACGUCACAAAAAAGAGACACUAAACUAUCACUAUCUUGCUUUGAAAGAGAUAACCUGAAUCUGAUCAAACUGCUAGAAUAGAUUAAGCUACCAGCUAUCAAUUAUAAAAAAAAUACAAGAGCCCAGGAAUAUGUUCAAACAGACCUCAAGAGAAGCAGUCAGCAAAAUGUGAGGUAUGGAAAACUCUAGAUGAAAUUUUUCUUUAAAAACAAAUACAUCUCAACAAUAAGGGAAUGAAUUAGGGGUAAGUUUACAGAUUAAAAAAGACUUAAAAGAUGUAUCAACUAUCACAACAUGUGACCUUAUUUGUAUCCUGAUUUAAGUAAACUCAAACAAAAAGCUGUUUAUGCCAUUUAUGAAGACAUUUGAACACUGAUUAGACAUUAAUGAAUUAUUGUAAAAUAUUUUAGAUAUGAUAACUGGUAUUGUGUCUAUGUUAAAAAUAAAGAGUCCUCUUCUUUUAUAUUUUUUAAAAAUGUUCAUUAUUUGAGAAAGAGA